Non-coding RNA from Bos taurus (domestic cattle), 72 nucleotides. Lineage: Eukaryota; Metazoa; Chordata; Mammalia; Artiodactyla; Bovidae. The record is from Rfam.
UCCCUGGAGGUCCAGUGGUUAGGACUCUGCACUUUCACUGCCAAGACCUGGGUUCAAUCCCUGGUUGGGGAA